UCAAGGCAUUAAUUGUCAAUAUUUCCUUAAGAUUACAAAAUCCUCUUUAAAGAUCACAAGAUCAUUUACAAUCUUGCAAAAUCCUCUCUCACUACUCAAUCAUCAUUUUCGACCAACACCUCUCUCCCUCUUUCUCUCACUUUCCUCCAUUUUCCUCCAUUGAAGAGACCUUCGAAGCUUCCAAAAAUUUUACAAAACACCUCAAUCCACUCUAAAAUCUUCCAUAAACACAUCCUAGCUACUUAUAUUCAAGAGAAUCAUUGAAGAAAGGCUUCCAAGCUAGAGUGAGAAAAUGUGAGUUUUGGUGAGAAAUUUGGGUUGAGCAGUUGAUGGAAUGGAAUGAUGUUGAGCGGGUGUUCCUUUGACAUUUCAAGAAAUGUAACCUUGAGUAUACAUCUUCAUAUGUAUAUCUCACACGUUUUCCGCUGCAAAACACUUUGAUUAGGAUAGCUCUAUGAUAUGAAGUUGUGAUACGUGUUAUUGGGUAACCACCUUAAUCAGUUCUCAAUUAUGUGUAUGUUUUAUAAGUAUCCAAAUAAUCAUAUAUGAUCCUAGCAUUUUAUCUAUGAGUGACAUUUCCAUA
Long non-coding RNA from Salvia miltiorrhiza (redroot sage), 583 nucleotides. RefSeq lists it as uncharacterized. Lineage: Eukaryota; Viridiplantae; Streptophyta; Magnoliopsida; Lamiales; Lamiaceae. The record is from RefSeq and is a predicted model, not a curated record. The transcript has 2 exons.